Vicugna pacos (alpaca) is the source of this 893-nucleotide non-coding RNA. NCBI's taxonomy places the organism in Eukaryota, Metazoa, Chordata, Mammalia, Artiodactyla, Camelidae. The record is from RefSeq and is a predicted model, not a curated record.
AAGGAAAGAGCCACACCUCUGAUGAAGCAGGAGAGAAAGAAGCGAAGUCUGAUUAAUAGCAUACACCUGGUCUUAUCAGUCGUCCCUGUCUCCCUUCUUGUACAAUCCAGAGGAAUAUUUUUAUCAACUAUUUUGUAAAUGCAAGUUUUUUAGUAGCUCUAGAAACAUUUUCAACAAGGAGGGAAUACCACCUCAUCCCAUUUUUAAAGUGUAAAUGCUUUUUUUUUAAGAGGUGAAAUAAUUUGCUGGUGGUUUAUUUUCUGAUACAACCAGAAAAUAGUGGGAUAUUGAAUAUGGGAGGCUUUGAUUGUUUUCAGUGUCAGCUUAACAUUCCACAGAUAGGGGGUUAGUUUUUUAUAUCCUAUAAUACAGAGCAUAAUUAAAUUGCAGUUUGGAGUCAGUUGUGCAUUUAAUGUCUUGAACACUUUAAAUUACUUCUCUUCCCACAUUGUUUUUGGUAGAAUUGUUUCCUAAAGCAAACCACUCCUUGAUCUUGGCUCUCCUCUAUCGGAAUUUUGUGUACUCUGUAACAUCUUUGGUCGUGGUAGUCCAGUUUUCCUAGUAACUUUGUUAAUGUGCUGUGAACGAUUGAAAAUUUUAGUAUGUAUGUAGUGUAUAUGAUAUUAAAUUGUGAAUUGGUGGGACUUAUGAUGUAACAGCAUAUCAACAUUGGAUUGGUACUUGAUACCCUGUUAAGGAAAAUUUGCUUUCAGAUUUUCAGCUGGAAAGUCACUGGAAUAACUGUUUGGAAAAGAGUCACAACUGCAUGAUUUUUGGUGUGUGUAUUAAGAAUUGUGUACAAAUUGAAAUGUUUGUACUGAUCCUCAAAACAACCAAUGAAAUCUCAGUUGUGAAAGAAAAGAUAAUAAAAAAUAAUAAAAAAUUAAAAAAAU